This 472-nucleotide ribosomal RNA is filed under the name uncultured bacterium. Its description in RNAcentral is "partial 16S ribosomal RNA". It matches the Rfam family "Bacterial small subunit ribosomal RNA", at positions 28 to 507 of the family's 1533-position model. The record is from RNAcentral.
GACGAACGCUGGCGGCGUGCUUAACACAUGCAAGUCGAACGCUGAAGCUUGGUGCUUGCACUGGGUGGAUGAGUGGCGAACGGGUGAGUAAUACGUGAGUAACCUGCCCUUGACUCUGGGAUAAGCCUGGGAAACUGGGUCUAAUACUGGAUAUGACAUGCCACUGCAUGGUGGUGUGUGGAAAGGGUUUUACUGGUUUUGGAUGGGCUCACGGCCUAUCAGCUUGUUGGUGGGGUAAUGGCCUACCAAGGCGACGACGGGUAGCCGGCCUGAGAGGGUGACCGGCCACACUGGGACUGAGAGACGGCCCAGACUCCUACGGGAGGCAGCAGUGGGGAAUAUUGCACAAUGGGCGGAAGCCUGAUGCAGCGACGCCGCGUGAGGGAUGACGGCCUUCGGGUUGUAAACCUCUUUCAGCACGGAAGAAGCGAGAGUGACGGUACGUGCAGAAGAAGCGCCGGCUAACUACGUG